Molecule: non-coding RNA, 129 nt
Filed under: uncultured Megasphaera sp.
Lineage: Bacteria; Bacillati; Bacillota; Negativicutes; Veillonellales; Veillonellaceae
Description: glmS glucosamine-6-phosphate activated ribozyme
Rfam family: glmS glucosamine-6-phosphate activated ribozyme aptamer
About the family: This entry contains a glucosamine-6-phosphate activated ribozyme that is found in the mRNA for GlmS.
Source: RNAcentral
GGAUAGCGCGAGUACCUGAAAUAAGGUAGACGAGGAAGAGGAGUAUCGAAGUAAUCAGCGGAUGCCUCUCGGCAGCUUCAGCCGUCAUGUCAAGGCAAAACGUCCCGGUAACGGAGCGCACAAGGUCUU